Molecule: long non-coding RNA, 2143 nt
Organism: Lonchura striata (white-rumped munia)
Lineage: Eukaryota; Metazoa; Chordata; Aves; Passeriformes; Estrildidae
Source: Ensembl
ACACCGUGCUGGAGCGUGACCCUCCCACAAGGUGCCAGCUCAGGUACAGGGACACCUGAGCACAAACUAUGGUCCGUUUCUCCUGGGAAAGAAAAUUCACCAUUCCAGGUUCCUGAUGUCAGUUUGUAGGGCUCCCUUGGGUCUAUCAGGGUUGCACAAGUUUGCGGUGGGGACAGCUGGAGUCUGAGACACAUCCUUCGAUGUUUGGAUUUUUUGCAGUCAGCUGUCAGCUCAAGGCCAGGGGCCCCUGGGCAAAUUCUCAGGCCAUUUUCCCUGGGAAAGAAAACUCACCAGUCCAGGUUCCUGAUGUCAGGUUUGUAGGGCUCCCUUGGGUCUAUCAGGGCAGCACAAGUUUGAGGUGGGGACAACUUCGGUCUGGGACACAUCCUUGAUGUCUGGAGUUUUUGCAGUCAGGCACCAGCUCAGCGCCAAGGGCGGCUGUGUACAUACUAUGGCCAUUUUCCCUGGGAAAGAAAACUCACCAGUCCAGGUUCCUGAUGUGAGUUUGGAGGGCUCCCUUGGCUCUAUCAGUGCAGCACAAGUUUGAGGUGGGGACAACUUUGGUCUGGGACACAUCCUUCAAUAUCUGGAUUUCUAAAGUGAGGCUCCACCUCAGGGGAAGGGACAGCUGAGCACAAACUAUGCCCCAUUUUCCCUGGGAAAGAAAACUCACCAGUCCAGGUUGCUGAUGUCAGUUUGUAGGGCUCCCUUGGGACUAUCAUGGCAGCACAAGUUUGAGGUGGGGACAGCUGGAGUCAGGGACACAUCCUUCGAUAUAUGGAUUCUUUGCAGUCAGGCCCCAGCCCAGUGCCAGGGACCCCUGGGCACAUCCUUUGGCCAUUUUCCCUGGGAAAGAAAACUCACCAGUCCAGGUUCCUGAUGUCAGUUUGUAGGGCUCCCUUGGGUCUAUCAGGGCAGCACAACUAUGAGGAGGGGACAACUUCAGUCUGGGGUCCAUCCUUCGAUAUAAGGAUUCUUUUGCAGUCAGGUCCCAGCCCAGGGCCAGGGGCCCCUGGGCAUAUUAUUUGGCCAUUUUCCCUGGGAAAGAAAACUCACCUGUCCAGGUUCCUGAUGUCACUUUGUAGGGCUCCCUUGGGAAUGUCUGGACAGCACAAGUUUGAGGUGGGGACAACUUCCAUCUAGGGUCCAUCCUUCGAUGUGUGGACUUUUAUGCCGUCAGGACCCAGCCCAGGGCCUGGGGCCCCUGGGCACAUCCUUUGGCCAAAUUCCCUGGGAAAGAAAACUCACCAGUCCAGGUUGCUGAUGUCAGUUUGUAGGGCUCCCUUGGGUCUGUGUGGGCAGCAGAAGUUUGGGGUGGGGAAAAUUUUGGUCUGGGGUCCAUCCUUCGAUAUAAGGAUUUUUUCAGUCAGGUCCCAGCCCGCUUUCAGGGCUCCCUGGGUACAUCCUUUGGCCAUUUUACCUGGGAAAGAAAACUCACCAGUCCAGGUUCCUGCUAUAAGUUGGUAGGGCUUGCUUGGGUCUGUCAGGGCAGCACAAGUUUGAGGAGGGGACAACUUUGGUCUGGGUUCCAUCCUUCGAUGUAUUGACUUUUGGCAGUAAUGUCCCAGCCCAGGGCCAGUGGCCCCUGGGCACAUCCUUUGGUCAUUUUGCCUGCGAAAGAAAACUCACCAGUCCAGGUUCCUGAUGUCAGUUUGUAGGGCUCCCUUGGGUCUAUCAGGGCAGCACAAGUUUGAGGUGGGGAUAAUUUCAGUCUGGGGUCCAUCCUUCGAUGUAUUGACUAUUUGCCGUCUGAUCCCAGCCCAAGGCUGGGGCCCCUGGGCACACACUUUGGUCAUUUUCCCUGGGAAAGAAAACUCACCAGUCCAAGUUCCUGAUGUCACUUUGUAGGGCUCCCUUGGGAAUGUCUGGACAGCACAAGUUUGAGGUGGGGACAACUUCCAUCUGGGGUCCAUCCUUCGAUAUAAGGAUUUUUUGCAGUCAGGUUCCCAGCCCACUUUCAAAGCUCCCUGGGCACAUCCUUUGGCAAUUUUCCCUGGGAAAGAAAACUCACCAGUCCAGGUUCCUGAUAUAAGUUGGUAGAGCUCCCAGGGGUCUAUCAGGGUAUCACAUGUUUGAGGUGCGGAAAACUUCCGUCCGGGGUACAUCCCUCCAUGUAUGGAGUUUUUGCCGUCAGGGCCCAACC